This 2128-nucleotide long non-coding RNA is filed under the name Ictidomys tridecemlineatus (thirteen-lined ground squirrel). Its description in RNAcentral is "lncRNA (ENSSTOG00000032104.1)". Lineage: Eukaryota; Metazoa; Chordata; Mammalia; Rodentia; Sciuridae. The record is from RNAcentral.
AGAAGAGCCAGAGAAAGCCAAGUCCGACACGGGGCCAAGGCUUCCCAAGGACAACCCGCCACCGCCGCGCUGCUGAGCGGGCAAAGUUCCGGGGGUCGGAAUGGCUGGAGCCGGGCGGGCUGGGAAGGGACCUCCAGGGCCACCCCGCAACAGCUGAAGCACAGACCCUCGCAGGAGCCACAGGCGCUGCCCGCGCCCCAGCGCAGAGCCCCAUCUCAGCCUGGAAGGUGCGGCGCACGCUCAGGCUGGGAGUUUGCAGAAAUCACCGCUGCCAGAGCGGGGACCCUCGCCAGACUCAGACCCCGCGCGCGUGCACGCGCCUGUGCUGGACGGAUGCUGGCAGACGGGGCGGCUGCAGGAUCCAGGCUCCAGCGGCCACCUGGACCUCCAUGAAAGCGCACAACGCGGCCGGGCCCGCGCGCCCCGGGGAUCCAGCGCGUGGGGCGGGGGCGGCGCCCGAACAGUCCGCCCCGCCCCCUCAAGCGUCCGUCCCCGCUGCUUCCGCGCCGGCUCCGAGUCCCUCCACUUAAGGCCAAAGUGUGCACAGCGGGCAGUGGCUGCCCCCAGAAAGGCGCCGGCGCCCCCAUCCCCGCCCUGGACCCCGGAACUGCGGGGUAGACCGCGGCUCCACGGAGCGCGCAACUUUACCUCGGGGCUGGCUGCCGGCUGCGCGCGCCUGCCCGCGGUUCCUCGGGGCGGAGCGCGGCGUCCGCUGGCCGGCUGCCCAGAGUCUGGCACCGCCCUGCUCAUCGGUUGGUGGGUCCUGCCCGCGGUGGCACGGCGCCCUCUCGCGCCCAGCGGGGUCCUGGGGAGACCCUGCAGCGAUCAGAGCCGCCCGGAGCAGCGGAAGCAUGAGACCGGGCUGGUGUGCCCACCACUUGGAGGACCAACCUGGGACACGGACAGGUGCAUAUACACGCGCGCAGAUCCAAGCUAAUGUGCUCACAACAUCGAACUCAUGAGACUUACACACGCAUAACCACUUGGACACAUACAUAUUCAUGCCAGCUCUCACACCCACACAUACAGGCUCACACUCGGUGCUCACGCUCACACACUCAUAACUGCAAUAUCACACACAGGUAUACACACACUCAGGCUUUCACACUUCCAUACGCAUAAACCCGGGCACACAGCCACGUGCACAUGCACACAUGCACACUCUCAUAACCCAACACAUGCACAUGAGCACUCAUGCUCAUGUGCUCACAUGGACAUACACCCAGGCACAUGCAUGCACUCAGGCACUCACAUACACACCCAGGUGCUCACACUUGCAUUUCACCCAGGAGCCUUUCCAGAGACACUAGCAGUGGACAGAGCCUGAGGUCCUGGGGAGGACAUGGACUUUGCAGGAUGUGCCUGCUGUCAAGCCCCAGGUGACCUGUGGAGGGAUCCUGGGCACACAGAAGUCUCCAGUGCAGUGUGUUACUCUUGCAUCCAGAAAUGGAGACUUUUUGCCCAGCACCAGGCCUGGGAAGGGAGCCUUAUUCCCUCUGGAAUCAUUCUGUCCGGAGGCCAGGUGUAGCUGUCGGGAGGCCAGGGCCACUGUCCCUGAGACACCACUGUCUCCAGGGGAUGUGACCAUUUCUGGGCAGCAGCUGCGCUGUUGGGUCAGCAGAUGUGCCUCACAGGGCUGUGUCCCUGGCCCCUGUGGUCAUUGUGACAUGAAAGUAAGCAGAGAACAAAGGAGCCCUGGGGAGGUCCGCGCCUGCACCCUUGGUGAGAGAGAGGGGGGUCCCCAUGCACUGAGGCCACAGGCUCCCUGGGCCUGUCCUGUUCUUCCUGGGAGGACCAUCCCAACCUGGCUAACAUGGCUGCCUAUUCAGACCCUCACCUGUGCCAAGCCUCCAGUGGCCUGUCACAGUCCACCCCACCCCCGCAACUCUUAUUCAUCCAGCUAGAGGGUUUGCUGUCCUUUCCUGGCCUUGAGGCACGUUUGUGAAUGACCUGGCUUGGGUAGACAGAUCUCCAGACCUGUCUCUAUUUGUGCAGCUCUUAGGAUUUUUUCCUCUAACCCACAAAUUUUGUUAUCUGUUUCUUUAAUAUCUACAUGCAGGGCUGAGGUUGUGGCUCAGUGGUAGAGGGUUUGCCCAGCAUGUAUGAGGCACUGAGUUCGAUCCUCGGC